GUCCAGCUGACGAGUCCCAAAUAGGACGAAUUGCGCUUUAUCCUGGAU
This 48-nucleotide non-coding RNA is filed under the name Trichobilharzia regenti. Lineage: Eukaryota; Metazoa; Platyhelminthes; Trematoda; Strigeidida; Schistosomatidae. The record is from RNAcentral.